This is a small nucleolar RNA of Humulus lupulus (European hop), 137 nucleotides long. RefSeq annotates it as small nucleolar RNA Z247. Lineage: Eukaryota; Viridiplantae; Streptophyta; Magnoliopsida; Rosales; Cannabaceae. The transcript has a single exon. The record is from RefSeq and is a predicted model, not a curated record.
GUUUUUAAUGAUGAUGACUUGAUUCUCUAUAUCCUUGGUGGCCUUGGACCUGAGUAUGACUCAGUUGUCAUUAAUCUAACAUCCAGGGUUAAUCAUGUUACCCUUUUUGACGUUCAGUUUCUCCUUCAGAGUCAAGA